This 722-nucleotide ribosomal RNA is filed under the name uncultured Massilia sp. Its description in RNAcentral is "bacterial SSU rRNA". It matches the Rfam family "Bacterial small subunit ribosomal RNA", at positions 774 to 1501 of the family's 1533-position model. The record is from RNAcentral. Lineage: Bacteria; Pseudomonadati; Pseudomonadota; Betaproteobacteria; Burkholderiales; Oxalobacteraceae.
AGGAUUAGAUACCCUGGUAGUCCACGCCCUAAACGAUGUCUACUAGUUGUCGGGUUUUAAUUAACUUGGUAACGCAGCCAACGCGUGAAGUAGACCGCCUGGGGAGUACGGUCGCAAGAUUAAAACUCAAAGGAAUUGACGGGGACCCGCACAAGCGGUGGAUGAUGUGGAUUAAUUCGAUGCAACGCGAAAAACCUUACCUACCCUUGACAUGUACGGAAGGCCGAAGAGAUUUGGCUGUGCUCGAAAGAGAGCCGUAACACAGGUGCUGCAUGGCUGUCGUCAGCUCGUGUCGUGAGAUGUUGGGUUAAGUCCCGCAACGAGCGCAACCCUUGUCAUUAGUUGCUACGAAAGGGCACUCUAAUGAGACUGCCAGUGACAAACCGGAGGAAGGUGGGGAUGACGUCAAGUCCUCAUGGCCCUUAUGGGUAGGGCUUCACACGUCAUACAAUGGUACAUACAGAGGGCUGCCAACCCGCGAGGGGGAGCUAAUCCCAGAAAGUGUAUCGUAGUCCGGAUCGCAGUCUGCAACUCGACUGCGUGAAGUUGGAAUCGCUAGUAAUCGCGGAUCAGCAUGUCGCGGUGAAUACGUUCCCGGGUCUUGUACACACCGCCCGUCACACCAUGGGAGCGGGUUUUACCAGAAGUAGGUAGCUUAACCGCAAGGGGGGCGCUUACCACGGUAGGAUUCGUGACUGGGGUGAAGUCGUAACAAGGUAACC